GCUCCGGGGAGAAGCUGGCGGCUUUUGGCGUCUGCGCUGCUGCUGGAGCAGAUUCUCUGCCUCAUAUUCCCUGCUGCUAAUACCUCCGGGUGCCAUCUAGACAUUUCAGCCUGUCUUGCCGCUCUCUCCACACUGUUUUGGGACUGCCAGCUCUAAGAAUUGUUGCUACGACAUUCGACUAAAGCCGGGAGGUCAAAUAGUAUUUCUUUGGAGGACUCCACAUUUAAGAUUGGGGUGAUAGCAAAUGCUGUGAGAAACAAAGCCACUGGUGAAGGUAUAUUGAGUCUGGACUAGUCUGUUGAGGUUAUUAGAGAAUUCGGAGAGGCUCAAAUCGGUAUCCUAUAUAUGCAUAGUUAUCAAACCACUGUGGAAUCUUGGAGGCUGAUCCAGCUGAGUUCGGGGAAGGUAA
Fukomys damarensis (Damara mole-rat) is the source of this 409-nucleotide long non-coding RNA. RefSeq lists it as uncharacterized. The transcript has 4 exons. Lineage: Eukaryota; Metazoa; Chordata; Mammalia; Rodentia; Bathyergidae. The record is from RefSeq and is a predicted model, not a curated record.